This 253-nucleotide ribosomal RNA is filed under the name uncultured bacterium. RNAcentral describes it as "partial 16S ribosomal RNA". It matches the Rfam family "Bacterial small subunit ribosomal RNA", at positions 524 to 776 of the family's 1533-position model. The record is from RNAcentral.
UACGUAGGGGGCUAGCGUUGUCCGGAAUCAUUGGGCGUAAAGCGCGUGUAGGCGGUUCGGUAAGUCCGCUGUGAAAGUCGAGGGCUCAACCCUCGAAAGCCGGUGGAUACUGUCGGGCUAGAGUGCGGAAGAGGCGAGUGGAAUUCCUGGUGUAGCGGUGAAAUGCGCAGAUAUCAGGAGGAACACCGGUGGCGAAGGCGGCGUUCUGGACUGCAACUGACACUGAGGAACGAAAGCCAGGGGAGCAAACGGG